CACCUAGGAAACCCGCGGUGUGGCCAGGGAAGGAGGUUCGGUUGGCGUCGGGCUUCCUGCGAGCUCCCUCCAGCGGCCGUGAUUGAAAUAAUUGUUUUCUGCUGCUGGAAACAAGUGCAGCACGUUGAACUGGACAAGGUGUCCCAGUACCCAUCUCUGGAGAAAUGUACUUGAAUGGCAUCGCAGUGGCAGCAACUUCAUGAGAGCUUUGGAAAAGGACGGGCUGAAGUCCUUCAGUGAAAUCAACAGGCUUUAUGGCUACAGCAUACUCUUCACUCAUGGCACACAUGACAGACACCUAGAAGAAAACAUGCAGGCAAAAAAGUUACUCAGAAGUUCACCUUCUGGCAGUUUAAGAUCCUCACGGACUUCACCAGUUUCUGUCAGCAGGGAAAGGUAACCAUCCUGA
Long non-coding RNA from Fukomys damarensis (Damara mole-rat), 409 nucleotides. RefSeq lists it as uncharacterized. The record is from RefSeq and is a predicted model, not a curated record. The transcript has 4 exons. NCBI's taxonomy places the organism in Eukaryota, Metazoa, Chordata, Mammalia, Rodentia, Bathyergidae.